This 493-nucleotide ribosomal RNA is filed under the name uncultured bacterium. RNAcentral describes it as "partial 16S ribosomal RNA". It matches the Rfam family "Bacterial small subunit ribosomal RNA", at positions 28 to 507 of the family's 1533-position model. The record is from RNAcentral.
GACGAACGCUGGCGGCGUGCCUAACACAUGCAAGUUGAGCGACGAACCAGGGCUUGCCCUGGGGCAAAGCAGCGAACGGGUGAGUAACACGUGGGUAACCUACCCCGAUAACCGGGACAACCCGAGGAAACUCGGGCUAAUACCGGAUGUGCUCACUGGACUUCGGUUCAGUGCGUAAAGGAAGCUUCGGCCUCCGUAUCGGGAGGGGCCCGCGGCCCAUUAGUUUGUUGGUGAGGUAACGGCUCACCAAGACCGCGAUGGGUAGCUGGUCUGAGAGGACGAUCAGCCACACUGGGACUGAGACACGGCCCAGACUCCUACGGGAGGCAGCAGUGGGGAAUCUUGUGCAAUGCGCGAAAGCGUGACGCAGCAACGCCGCGUGGGGGAAGAAGGCCUUCGGGUUGUAAACCCCUUUCAGGAGGGACGAAGGUUCGGCGGUGAAUAGCCGUCCGGACUGACGGUACCUCCACAAGAAGCCCCGGCUAACUACGUG